This is a long non-coding RNA of Ctenopharyngodon idella (grass carp), 1365 nucleotides long. RefSeq lists it as uncharacterized. The transcript is spliced from 3 exons. The record is from RefSeq and is a predicted model, not a curated record. NCBI's taxonomy places the organism in Eukaryota, Metazoa, Chordata, Actinopteri, Cypriniformes, Xenocyprididae.
GUUAAAAAGUUAUCUCUAUUUUUUUGUAGUACAAUGAUGCUGUACUGGUCAAAAUGGUUUAAACCAUAGUACAUUAUUACCGUACGCUGCAGAACUGAAAAAAAGUUUUUAGUUCUGGUUAUGCUAGUGUAACCGGGUGACGCAUGGGUUUGGUACUGCAAUUCCCAUAAGUCUUUGGGGCAGCGUAAUUCUUGCGUCAUAACGUAGUUUGCACGCUAUAAAUAGACGUACGGAAGUAUAGCGCGCCCUCGUUUCAUUCAUUCAUUGACUCUGGAAACAAGCGUGAGCUAGCAUCAAGUAAUUUAUGGUCUGUGUGCUUAUAAAGAGAUGCACGGAAACGUAGCACGCCCUCGUUUCAUUCAUUCAUUGACUCUGGAAACAAGAAUGAGCUUGUAUCAGAAGUCCUUGUGUGUUGAUGGUGAUUGGCCUGGUGAUGCAGUCUUCAGAGUGUUGAAUGAGUUGAGAGUGAAUUAGUUUUUCAUCUUAUUUCCGUGGCAGCUGCAGGGUCUCCUCCAAGGGUGUGACUGGCACUGGUGAGGUGGUGGAGAUUCUUUUGUGGUUCCUGGUGAUUUAUUUAUCCUUUUGAAUGCCGUGGAUUUUGUGCUGCAUUUGGAGUGUGAACUGCAAGUAGUGGCUCUAUUUUUCUACACACGUAUGGUUGUGCCCUGUUGGAGCCCUGUGGUUUGUCAUAAAUUUGUUUUGUUUCUCCUUUUCCUUGCUGAAUGAUAUCUGUACUAGUGUUUUAAACAUUUAAUUGCUUUUAUACAAAAUUUGGUAUUUAUGAAUGUGAAUAAAACUGCUUGUACAAGUAAAACAUUUUCACUACUGUCUGUGGCCAGUUAUUAGCCCACUUGUGGUGGGUUACAUUAGGUUGAAAACAGGGCUUAAAAACGAAAAAAAAAUAAAAAAAUAAAAUAAAAUAAAAUAAAAUAAAAUAAAAUUCAAUCGUUUCACUCCGAGCAGAGCCUACUAAAUAAUAAUAAUAAUAAUAAUAAUAAUAAUAAUAGUGAUAAUACAUACAGCAUUGUAUUUAUUAAAAAACAAAGAGAGUAUUUGCUGUCUUAUCUUUAUAACAAGAUUCUGUCCUAAUGUAAACCUAUUAAACAAAAGGAAAAACAACGGUUUAUAAAUUAAAGUAUUUUUCAAGAUAUUUUAAAAUGUUUGUUGCAUGGUUAAAAAUACCGACGCUAUUCCUGAGAGAAAAAAGAUAAGUCGGGUAUACUGUAACGGUCACUUAGAGCACACUUUGUAUGAUGUAUCUUGUGAAUCUAUUGUUUUUUCACUUUAAUGUUUGGUAUCAUUUUAAAUAUCUUAGUGCGACUGGUAAAAUGGUCGCAAUUACACAGCAGUCACUUGUAUUUUAUG